GGACUUGUAGCCAAGCUUGGAUAUGGCGUCGGACUUCUAAUCCGAAGAUCGCAGGUUCAAAUCCUGCCUGGUCCACCA
This 78-nucleotide transfer RNA is filed under the name Promethearchaeota archaeon. RNAcentral's name for it is "Candidatus Lokiarchaeota archaeon (permafrost metagenome) tRNA-Arg". It matches the Rfam family "tRNA". From Rfam's summary of the family: Transfer RNA (tRNA) molecules are approximately 80 nucleotides in length. Their secondary structure includes four short double-helical elements and three loops (D, anti-codon, and T loops). Lineage: Archaea; Promethearchaeati; Promethearchaeota. The record is from RNAcentral.